CGCGUAGGCGGCCUGCUAAGUCUGGAGUGAAAGUCCUGCUUUCAAGGUGGGAAUUGCUUUGGAUACUGGUGGGCUGGAGUGCAGGAGAGGAAAGCGGAAUUACCGGUGUAGCGGUGAAAUGCGUAGAGAUCGGUAGGAACACCAGUGGCGAAGGCGGCUUUCUGGACUGGAACUGACGCUGAGGCGCGAAAGCGUGGGGAGCAAACA
RNAcentral lists this ribosomal RNA (207 nucleotides) under uncultured bacterium. RNAcentral's name for it is "partial 16S ribosomal RNA". It matches the Rfam family "Bacterial small subunit ribosomal RNA", at positions 568 to 774 of the family's 1533-position model. The record is from RNAcentral.